AUUGAACACUGGCGGCAGGCCUAACACAUGCAAGUCGAAUGGUAAUAGGAAACAGCUUGCUGUUUCGCUGACGAGUGGCGGACGGGUGAGUAAUGUCUGGGAAACUGCCUGAUGGAGGGGGAUAACUACUGGAAACGGUAGCUAAUACCGCAUAACGUCGCAAGACCAAAGAGGGGGACCUUCGGGCCUCUUGCCAUCAGAUGUGCCCAGAUGGGAUUAGCUAGUAGGUGGGGUAACGGCUCACCUAGGCGACGAUCCCUAGCUGGUCUGGGAGGAUGACCAGCCACACUGGAACUGAGACACGGUCCAGACUCCUACGGGAGGCAGCAGUGGGGAAUAUUGCACAAUGGGCGCAAGCCUGAUGCAGCCAUGCCGCGUGUAUGAAGAAGGCCUUCGGGUUGUAAAGUACUUUCAGCGGGGAGGAAGGGAGUAAAGUUAAUACCUUUGCUCAUUGACGUUACCCGCAGAAGAAGCACCGGCUAACUCCGUG
RNAcentral lists this ribosomal RNA (490 nucleotides) under uncultured bacterium. RNAcentral's name for it is "partial 16S ribosomal RNA". It matches the Rfam family "Bacterial small subunit ribosomal RNA", at positions 30 to 507 of the family's 1533-position model. The record is from RNAcentral.